CCUACGGGGGACAGCAGUGGGGAAUAUUGGGCAAUGGAGGCAACUCUGACCCAGCAACGCCGCGUGAGGGAGGAAGGCCUUAGGUUUGUAAACUUAUGUUUGAAAGGAAGAAAAGAAUGACGGUACUUUACAAGAAAGCGUCGGCUAACUAUGUGCCAGCAGCCGCGGUAAGACAUAGGGGGCAAGCGUUGUUCGGAAUUACUGGGCGUAAAGGGAGCGUAGGCGGGAGAUUAAGGUAAGAGGGAAAGCCUUGGGCUCAACCCAAGAAAUGCUCUUAAUACUGGUAUUCUAGAGUGUGGGAGAGGUAAGUGGAAUUCGUGGUGUAGCGGUAGAAUGCGUAGAGAUUAGGAGGAACAUCAGAGGCGAAGGCGGCUUGCUGGACCAUAACUGACGCUGAGGCACGAAAGCGUGGGGAGCAAACAGGAUUAGAUACCCUGGUAGUC
RNAcentral lists this ribosomal RNA (443 nucleotides) under uncultured bacterium. RNAcentral describes it as "partial 16S ribosomal RNA". It matches the Rfam family "Bacterial small subunit ribosomal RNA", at positions 338 to 795 of the family's 1533-position model. The record is from RNAcentral.